Molecule: ribosomal RNA, 529 nt
Filed under: Malgasia tsipika
Lineage: Eukaryota; Metazoa; Arthropoda; Insecta; Orthoptera; Gryllidae
Description: partial 16S ribosomal RNA
Rfam family: Bacterial large subunit ribosomal RNA
Source: RNAcentral
UCUUCUGGGAAUUGAUCAGAAGUAGUAUCUGCCCAAUGAGUAUAUUUAAUGGCCGCGGUAUUUUGACCGUGCAAAGGUAGCAUAAUCAUUUGUCUUUUAAUUGGGGACUUGAAUGAAUGAUUUGACGAGAUAGAGACUGUCUUGGAAUGAAUAGAUUGAAUUUAAUUUUUGAGUUAGAAAGCUUAAAUAAUAAUGGAGGACGAGAAGACCCUAUAGAGUUUUAUAGUUUUGUAUUAAAAUGUAUUAGGUUAUAAUUUUUUAAUAGAUAAUUAUUUGGUUGGGGUGAUGAUAAAAUAUAUGAAACUUUUAUUAAGAGAUGUUAACUAGGAAUAUUGAAGGAAGAAAAUGGAUGUGAUCUUGUAGUAUGGAUUAGAAGAAUAAAUUACCUUAGGGAUAACAGCGUAAUUCUAUUUGAGAGUUCAUAUCGAAAAUAGGGUUUGCGACCUCGAUGUUGGAUUAAGAGUAUUGGUUGGUGUAGAAGCUAGUAUAAUAGGUCUGUUCGACCUUUAAAUUCUUACAUGAUCUGAGC